GCUGAGAGGGCGUGGCUCCACAAAGGGAGGAGAUGGCUCACUGAAAAGCCUCAGCCACAAGAGUAGGGGGAAAGACCUGAACUGACAGGAUCUGUGACCUAUUUCUAGGUCCUUGAUACCUCCUCAGGGGCUGGGGAGUUGGGACUUAGUGGAUGCCUGCUAAGAGGAAGGAAUUAUCACCCAGAUGUCCAGGAUGGGCUGAAUAUGAGAUAUUGAAAAUGAAGCUGAAGGCCUGACUGACAGCCCCAACAUCCCAACACACUGAGGCAAAGCAGGCCUGGGGACCACCAAGGUGACAGGUCAUCGGCGCUUUCAUCUGUGAGGACCAUUUAUUUUCUAGCACCUGGUUUAUUUUACUUAAUGGAUGCUGGAUUCCAUGCCUGCGUUUCCCUCUCUGCAUUAGCUGCCAGAUGCUUCAAGUCAAAUGUAAAGCCUCCAGUCAGCAGUGUGUGGAAACAGGGCGUGCCUGGAGUCUGGAGCCUCCAGCAGGAUUCCAUCUGAUAUUCUUUUGCUACUGUUGCAUGAGGCUUUAAGCACAUCUUUAAUCUUGCUAUUGUCUUGGGCGCUAGCUACAAAGUGACAAGAAAAUAAAUGAAAGUUCUUAUUUCCCUGCAUGCUCAGACAACCCAGUCUCUCUCGGCUUAAUUGUCUCUAUCUGCAGAUCUGGGAUAAUGCCUUGUAUAAAAAUUUGUUAAGGAUUAAGGGAAACAAUACAGGUAAAAAGAUAUUGUAGAUUCGGCAGUGCGCUAGAAACAUAAGGUUGUCUUGUUGGCUUGCUGUUACUGAGAGCGAGAUGUGAUCCCUGUUCCUGGAUUAUCUACAUCACAAAUAGUUGGCCCAGCUUGGGAAAGAGAGACAGUGCUGGCUCCUCAGGACUCAGAGCUGUGUCCCUGAGAAGAUACUCAAGAGUUGCAUGGUACAAAGAAGCCCAAAAGUAGAUUCAAGCUACCCUCUCCACAGGCACGGUUCAGCUUGAAGCUAUCUGGCUGGAGGUGGUUCCUUGUGAGGUCCUAGGAGACCCUCCAGAUAGAAUUUGGGAAGGUUUCAUCCCUAUCAUCUGGUGAGAGGAGACCAAUGGCCUAACAUCUCAGAAUUCUGAUUACAAGGGAACAGUAGCCAUGGCCUACAUUGGCCACCAGCCUGGCCUCACUGCCCUACUUCUGAGCCUCCCCCCUGCCCACCUCCUUUCUUCUGCUUUUCAUAAUACAUCAUUACCUUUCUUUCAGCAUUCUUAAUUGUCCAUGUGUGCAUGUGUGCAUAUGCCAUGUGUGUGCAGGGGCCUGCAGAGCCCAGGAGAGGGUGUCAGAGUCCCUGGAGCUGGAGUCACAGGGAGUUAUGAGCUGCCCGAUAUGAGUACUGGGCACUGAACUCCAGUUCUUUGGAACAGCAAAUGUCCUCAACUGAAGAGACACCUUUCCAGGCUUGCCUUCCGAGCAUUUUUUCUUUUUUGAGAAUUACUUAAUUCUGGAGACGUCACAGGUCUGAACAUUCUAGAGCAUUCACAUGACAUUUUAACAAUGGAGGAUUUUGUGACAAAUACUGUCUACCUUUUCCUUUCUCCUCACUUCUUUUCCUCUCUUUCCUUCUUCUUUCUUUCUUUCCAAAAUAUCUAAAAUAGGUAUGUAACUGUCGAUCUACCUUGAGCAAAGGAAGAUACAAAUACAUUCGAGUUUUAUAGCACCUAAGCUAUCCAGCCAGGUAUGGGACCCAUAGCUACCAGCACUGCACUUACGGGGUUGAGGCAAGAUGAUCGUUGCAAGUUUCAUGCCAACCUGAAUGAUAUGGUGAGACCCAGGCUAGCCUGGGCUAUUGAGUAAGGCUUUAUGACUGAAUAAAUAAACAAAUGAGAAACUGAUCUCGGUUUUGCUUCUCUGCUUUAAAGCUCUUUGGCUCCAGGGAAUUCCCCCAGCUCGUCUCAUCUAUAAAAUGGAUUUCUUUCUGUAUUGAGCAGGUGAAAUGAGGUUUUCUGUGCUCCGUUCUUAGGCCUGUGGAGUGGUUGUUUUCCAUACCUGGUUACUGAGGGAAUCGAGGAUGCUAUUUGGUGGAGGCCACACAAGCAAGGACAGCUUCAAGCCCUGCACAGCAGGCUCAGAAUCAUGGUCACCAAAGGUUCUUGGUGCUGAGUCUACCCCCAUACCAAAAUCCUUCCCAGACCUCAAAAAUCCUGGAUAUGGCC
Non-coding RNA from Rattus norvegicus (Norway rat), 2176 nucleotides. Lineage: Eukaryota; Metazoa; Chordata; Mammalia; Rodentia; Muridae. The record is from RefSeq and is a predicted model, not a curated record.